CAAUAGCGUAUAUUAAAGUUGUUGCGGUUAAAAAGCUCGUAGUUGGAUUUCUGCCGAGGACGACCGGUCCGCCCUCUGGGUGAGUAUCUGGCUCGGCCUGGGCAUCUUCUUGGAGAACGUAGCUGCACUUGACUGUGUGGUGCGGUAUCCAGGACUUUUACUUUGAGGAAAUUAGAGUGUUUCAAGCAGGCUUACGCCUUGAAUACAUUAGCAUGGAAUAAUAAGAUAGGACCUCGGUUCUAUUUUGUUGGUUUCUAGAGCUGAGGUAAUGAUUAAUAGGGAUAGUUGGGGGCAUUCGUAUUUAACUGUCAGAGGUGAAAUUCUUGGAUUUGUGAAAGACGAACUUCUGCGAAAGCAUUUGCCAAGGAUGUUUUCAUUGA
RNAcentral lists this ribosomal RNA (380 nucleotides) under uncultured eukaryote. Its description in RNAcentral is "partial 18S ribosomal RNA". It matches the Rfam family "Eukaryotic small subunit ribosomal RNA", at positions 592 to 976 of the family's 1831-position model. The record is from RNAcentral.